This 440-nucleotide ribosomal RNA is filed under the name uncultured bacterium. Its description in RNAcentral is "partial 16S ribosomal RNA". It matches the Rfam family "Bacterial small subunit ribosomal RNA", at positions 338 to 795 of the family's 1533-position model. The record is from RNAcentral.
CCUACGGGCGGCAGCAGUGGGGGAUAUUGCACAAUGGGGGAAACCCUGAUGCAGCGACGCCGCGUGUGGGAAGACGGUCCUCUGGAUUGUAAACCACUGUCCCCAGGGACGAAGCUGACGGUACCUGGGGCGGAAGCUCCGGCUAACUACGUGCCAGAAGCCGCGGUAAUACGUAGGGCGCGAGCGUUGUCCGGAAUUAAUGGGGGUAAGGGGAGCGUAGGCGGGGAUGCAAGUUGGGUGGCAAAACUACCGGCUCAACUGGUAGUCGCACUCAAAACUGCAGCUCUUGAGUGAAGUAGAGGCAGGCCGAAUUCCUAGUGUAGCGGUGAAAUGCGUAGAUAUGUGGAGGAACACCAGUGGCGAAGGCGGCCUGCUGGGCUUUUACUGACGCUGAGGCUCGAAAGUGUGGGGAGCAAACAGGAUUAGAUACCCGAGUAGUC